This 463-nucleotide ribosomal RNA is filed under the name uncultured bacterium. RNAcentral's name for it is "partial 16S ribosomal RNA". It matches the Rfam family "Bacterial small subunit ribosomal RNA", at positions 28 to 507 of the family's 1533-position model. The record is from RNAcentral.
GACGAACGCUGGCGGCGUGCUUAACACAUGCAAGUCGAACGGAAAGGCCUUUUCGGAGGUACUCGAGUGGCGAACGGGUGAGUAACACGUGGGUGAUCUGCCCUGCACUCUGGGAUAAGCCUGGGAAACUGGGUCUAAUACCGGAUAGGACCGCACUUUAGUGUGUGUGGUGGAAAGUUUUUUCGGUGUAGGAUGAGCCCGCGGCCUAUCAGCUUGUUGGUGGGGUAAUGGCCUACCAAGGAGGCGACAGGUAGCCAUACUAAGAGUUUAGUGGUCCACAUUAACACUGAGAUACGGCCCAGACUCCUACGCGAAGCAGCAGUGGGAAAUAUUACACAAUGCGCGCAAGCCUGAUGCAGCGACGCCGCGUGGGGGAUGACGGCCUUCGGGUUGUAAACUCCUUUCGCCAGGGACGAAGCGUUUUGUGACGGUACCUGGAGAAGAAGCACCGGCUAACUACGUG